This 493-nucleotide ribosomal RNA is filed under the name uncultured bacterium. RNAcentral's name for it is "bacterial SSU rRNA". It matches the Rfam family "Bacterial small subunit ribosomal RNA", at positions 30 to 518 of the family's 1533-position model. The record is from RNAcentral.
UGAACGCUAGCGGCAGGCUAACACAUGCAAGUCGAGGGGCAUCGGGAGUAGCAAUACUGCCGGCGACCGGCGCAAGGGUGCGUAACGCGUGAGCAACAUGCCCGUAUCAGGGGGAUAAUCCAUGGAAACGUGGUCUAAUACCCCAUAGUAAUUAUGUAAGGCAUCUUAUGUAAUUUAAAGCUUUGGUGGAUACGGAUUGGCUCGCGUGACAUUAGCUGGAUGGUAAGGUAACGGCUUACCAUGGCUACGAUGUCUAGGGGUUCUGAGAGGAAGGUCCCCCACACUGGAACUGAGACACGGUCCAGACUCCUACGGGAGGCAGCAGUGAGGAAUAUUGGACAAUGGAUGGAAAUCUGAUCCAGCCAUGCCGCGUGCAGGAAGAACCGGCCCUAUGGGUUGUAAACUGCUUUUGUAUGGGAGCAAUAAGGGCUACGUGCAGUCCGAUGAGAGUACCAUACGAAUAAGCACCGGCUAACUCCGUGCCAGCCGCAGC